GUCCCUGUAGUGCAAUGGAUAGCUCGUUGAACAUCUAAUCCAAAGGUCGUAAGUUCGAAUUCUACCUGGGAUG
Non-coding RNA from Trichonephila inaurata madagascariensis, 73 nucleotides. Lineage: Eukaryota; Metazoa; Arthropoda; Arachnida; Araneae; Nephilidae. The record is from the annotation of a GenBank genome assembly.